ACGAUGGAUCACCAGUGAGUGGCGGACGGGGUAUAACACGUAGGUAACCUGCCCCGGAGCGGGGGAUAACAUUUGGAAACAGAUGCUAAUACCGCAUAACAACAAAAGCCACAUGGCCUUUUGUUUGAAAGAUGGCUUUGGCUAUCACUCUGGGAUGGACCUGCGGUGCAUUAGCUAGUUGGUAAGGUAACGGCUUACCAAGGCGAUGAUGCAUAGCCGAGUUGAGAGACUGAUCGGCCACAAUGGAACUGAGACACGGUCCAUACUCCUACGGGAGGCAGCAGUAGGGAAUCUUCCACAAUGGGCGCAAGCCUGAUGGAGCAACACCGCGUGAGUGAAGAAGGGUUUCGGCUCGUAAAGCUCUGUUGUUGGAGAAGAACGUGCGUGAGAGUAACUGUUCACGCAGUGACGGUAUCCAACCAGAAAGUCACGGCUAACUACGUGCCAGCAGCCGCGGUAAUACGUAGGUGGCAAGCGUUAUCCGGAUUUAUUGGGCGUAAAGCGAGCGCAGGCGGUUGCUUAGGUCUGAUGUGAAAGCCUUCGGCUUAACCGAAGAAGUGCAUCGGAAACCGGGCGACUUGAGUGCAGAAGAGGACAGUGGAACUCCAUGUGUAGCGGUGGAAUGCGUAGAUAUAUGGAAGAACACCAGUGGGCGAAGGCGGCUGUCUGGGUCUGCAACUGACGCUGAGGGCUCGAAAGCAUGGGUAGCGAACAGGAUUAGAUACCCUGGUAGUCCAUGCCCGUAAACGAUGAAGUGCUAGGUG
RNAcentral lists this ribosomal RNA (764 nucleotides) under uncultured bacterium. RNAcentral describes it as "bacterial SSU rRNA". It matches the Rfam family "Bacterial small subunit ribosomal RNA", at positions 69 to 822 of the family's 1533-position model. The record is from RNAcentral.